This 325-nucleotide ribosomal RNA is filed under the name uncultured eukaryote. RNAcentral's name for it is "partial 18S ribosomal RNA". It matches the Rfam family "Eukaryotic small subunit ribosomal RNA", at positions 1470 to 1796 of the family's 1831-position model. The record is from RNAcentral.
CCCUUAGAUGUUCUGGGCCGCACGCGUGCUACAAUGGCAAAAUCAACGAGUAUACCUUUGUCGACAGACAUGGGAAAUCUUUUCAGUUCUUGCCGUGAUGGGGCUAGACCCUUGUAAUUGUUGGUCUCCAACGAGGAAUUCCUAGUAAACGCAAGUCAUUAUCUUGCAUUGAUUACGUCCCUGCCCUUUGUACACACCGCCCGUCGCUCCUACCGAUUGAGUGGUCCGGUGAGGCUUUGGGAUCUGAGCGGAAAGAGCGUUUCGCUGUUUCUGCUCGGAAAACUCAGUCGAACCUUAUCAUUUAGAGGAAGGAGAAGUCGUAACA